CUUCCUCGCAUCGCACCGGCCUCUUCCUUUUUCCUCUCCCUCCUUUUCCGGAAACCCAGAGUCCUCUCCAAUUCUUCGCCGUUCUCCGGCGAGCGCGACGCCGGCGAAGAGACCAGCCUACGGGAGCAGGCUGCGGCUGCCGAGAGCCCGGCCCGACCGAUGGCGGCGCGCGGUGCCCGUGAUCGUGCUGGUACCACUCCUCGCGCCUCCUCCCUGCUCCUCUGCCUCGUCCUGCUGCUCGCGCUGUCGGCUGCGGCGGAGGCGGCGGAGGAGGCCACCCCCUCGGGGGUGUUCGAGGUGCGGCGCAAGUUCACGCGACACGGCGGCGGCGGGGAGGGCCACCUCUCGGCGCUCCGGGAGCACGACGGCCGCCGCCAUGGCCGUCUGCUCGCCGCCGUCGACCUCCCCCUCGGCGGCAGCGGCCUCGCCACCGGCACCGGGCUCUACUUCACGCGGAUUGGGAUCGGCACGCCGGCGAAGGGCUACUACGUGCAGGUGGACACCGGCAGCGACAUACUCUGGGUCAACUGCGUCUCCUGCGACGGCUGCCCGCGCAAGAGCAACCUUGGGAUUGAGCUGACGAUGUACGACCCGAGGGGGUCGGGGAGCGGGCAGCUGGUGACCUGCGACCAGGACUUCUGCGUCGAGAACUACGGCGGCGUGCUGCCUACGUGCACCACUUCAUCGCCGUGCCAGUACAGCAUCACGUACGGAGACGGGAGCUCCACGGCCGGGUUCUUCAUCACCGACUUCUUGCAGUACAACCAGGUGACCGGCGAUGGUCAAACCACGCCGGCCAAUGCGAGCGUCACAUUCGGGUGUGGUGCUAAGCUAGGCGGGGAUUUGGGGUCGUCAAACCUGGCCCUUGAUGGGAUUCUUGGAUUUGGUCAAUCGAAUUCUUCGAUGCUGUCACAGCUCGCUGCCGCGGGAAAAGUUCAGAAGAAGUUUGCUCAUUGUCUGGACACUGUAAAUGGUGGAGGGAUUUUCGCUAUCGGGAAUGUGGUUCAACCAAAAGUGAAGACAACACCGUUGGUGCCCAACAUGCCACACUACAAUGUCAACCUGAAAGGAAUUGAUGUUGGUAGUACCACACUACAACUUCCAACAGAUACUUUCGAUUCAAGUAACAGUAAAGGUACCAUCAUUGAUAGUGGGACAACAUUAGCGUAUGUCCCAGAGGUGGUUUAUACGUCUAUGAUGGCUGCGGUAUUUGAUAAGCAUAAGGACAUAUCCUUACAGAAGUCCCAAGACUUCGAUUGCUUCCAAUAUUCUGGAAGUGUAGACGAUGGAUUUCCUGUAAUUACUUUUCGUUUUGAGGGAGAUGUUUCACUGACUGUUUCGCCGCAUGAUUAUCUUUUCCAAAAUGGGGGUGUCAGUACUGUUCCAAUCUGAGUGGUGUUUUUACUCCUCUUUUGCUUUCUGGUCUUCCUACUAGCUAAGCCGAGUUCCGUAAUUUGGGUUGCUCCUGAAGGUUCUGCCAGGCCAUAUGUGGCAGUCAUUGGUUCAGUAAGCUGGAGAUCCCCGUAAACUACUCUGUUACCCCGGCAAAGCAGGACGCUUUUCUCUGAAAAACUGUGCAAAUACCAACUAUUGUUUCUACUUUAUAGAUAAAAAAUUAUAAAAUGGGACGACAUUAGUUGUUUUCUCAUAUUUGUAAGAUUGUUUACCAUCACUGUACAUGGUAAAGCAACCAAUAACACACUAAUACAACUUGUGAGUUGUGAUAGUAAAUGAUUCAUGUAAAUGUAUAACUUGUUUUAUGCAGAAAAAUUUGUAUUGUGUGGGGUUCCAAAACGGUGGGUUACAAUCCAAGGAUGCCAAAAAUAUGGUGCUUUUGGGAGAUCUGGUGCUUUCAAAUAAACUG
Molecule: RNA transcript, 1864 nt
Organism: Oryza brachyantha (malo sina)
Lineage: Eukaryota; Viridiplantae; Streptophyta; Magnoliopsida; Poales; Poaceae
Gene name: aspartic proteinase 36-like
Exons: 9
Source: RefSeq, a predicted model, not a curated record